This is a long non-coding RNA of Oncorhynchus tshawytscha (Chinook salmon), 379 nucleotides long. NCBI's taxonomy places the organism in Eukaryota, Metazoa, Chordata, Actinopteri, Salmoniformes, Salmonidae. The record is from Ensembl.
AGUAGUGAGAGGUAAUGUAAUAGACUAAUAGUGAGAGGUAAUGUAAUAGACUAAUAGUGAGAGGUAAUGUAAUAGACUAGUAGUGAGACUUAAUGUAAUAGACUAAUAGUGAGAGGUAAUGUAAUAGACUAAUAGUGAGAGGUAAUAUAAUAGACUAAUAGGGAGAGGUAAUAUAAUAGACUAAUAGGGAGAGGUAAUGUAAUAGACUAAUAGUGAGAGGUAAUAUAAUAGACUAAUAGGGAGAGGUAAUAUAAUAGACUAAUAGGGAGAGGUAAUGUAAUAGACUAAUAGGGAGAGGUAAUGUAAUAGACUAAUAGUGAGAGGUAAUGUAAUAGACUAGUAGUGAGAGGUAAUGUAAUAGACUAAUAGUGAGAGGUAA